Molecule: ribosomal RNA, 397 nt
Filed under: uncultured bacterium
Lineage: Bacteria
Description: partial 16S ribosomal RNA
Rfam family: Bacterial small subunit ribosomal RNA
Source: RNAcentral
AUACGUAGGUGGCAAGCGUUGUCCGGAAUUAUUGGGCGUAAAGCGCGCGCAGGCGGUCCUUUAAGUCUGAUGUGAAAGCCCACGGCUCAACCGUGGAGGGUCAUUGGAAACUGGGGGACUUGAGUGCAGAAGAGGAAAGUGGAAUUCCAAGUGUAGCGGUGAAAUGCGUAGAGAUUUGGAGGAACACCAGUGGCGAAGGCGACUUUCUGGUCUGUAACUGACGCUGAGGCGCGAAAGCGUGGGGAGCAAACAGGAUUAGAUCCCCUGGUAGUCCACGCCGUAAACGAUGAGUGCUAAGUGUUAGGGGGUUUCCGCCCCUUAGUGCUGCAGCUAACGCAUUAAGCACUCCGCCUGGGGAGUACGGUCGCAAGACUGAAACUCAAAUGAAUUGACGGGG